Molecule: ribosomal RNA, 398 nt
Filed under: uncultured bacterium
Lineage: Bacteria
Description: bacterial SSU rRNA
Rfam family: Bacterial small subunit ribosomal RNA
Source: RNAcentral
UAAUACGGAGGGUGCAAGCGUUGUCCGGAUUCACUGGGUGUAAAGGGCGUGUAGGCGGGAGAAUGUGUCGGAAGUGUAAUCGUGCGGCUUAACCGUAUCAAUUGCUUCCGAAACUGUUCUUCUUGAGUACGAGAGAGGCAGAUAGAAUUCCAGGUGUAGCGGUGGAAUGCGUAGAUAUCUGGAAGAAUACCCGUGGCGAAGGCGGUCUGCUGGCUCGAUACUGACGCUGAGGCGCGAAAGUGUGGGGAGCAAACAGGAUUAGAUACCCUGGUAGUCCACACCGUAAACGAUGGUCACUAGUCGUCGGGGGAUUCGACCCCUUCGGUGACGAAGCUAACGCAUUAAGUGACCCACCUGGGGAGUACGCUCGCAAGGGUGAAACUUAAAGGAAUUGACGG